GUAGACAAGCUGAGCAAGAGUAGUCUUCCCUAUUCCCCCCAUUCCGAUAAUGGGAAUCACACAAACCCCAUUAUCCCAAUCUUCCCCACUCAACAACAAUUCCACAAUCCUCUCUUGGUCCUCUUCCCUACCAAAAAUCUGCUGUUCAUCUACCAAAGAAGUACUAGGCAAUCUUUUAAAUGAUCCACUACUCCUACCUUCACUACUAUUAACGCUCAGCUCAAGGCCAUCCUUUUGCUUAACAACUUCUUCCAAUCUAGCUGUAAUUAUCUUAAUUCUAGACCCCCAGUUAUAAUUAAACGCCAGAUUUCUAGGAUUCAAUGGAGCAAAGAACUUGGGUAACGCAGUUCGUAACUUGCUUGAGCCCGAUUCUUGCUUCUCUUGUAGGUUUUUGCGUAAAACCUCAGUGGCAAACUCGUCGAGGAUGUCCUCUACAUCAUAAGCUAAUUCUCGGAGCUCUUCAAUCCAAAUUUCUAGAAGGCGAUUGCUUAUUUGCUUCUCCUCUGCAUCAUCAAGC
RNAcentral lists this unclassified non-coding RNA (517 nucleotides) under Hevea brasiliensis (rubber tree). The record is from RNAcentral. Lineage: Eukaryota; Viridiplantae; Streptophyta; Magnoliopsida; Malpighiales; Euphorbiaceae.